RNAcentral lists this ribosomal RNA (150 nucleotides) under Fasciola gigantica. The record is from RNAcentral. Lineage: Eukaryota; Metazoa; Platyhelminthes; Trematoda; Plagiorchiida; Fasciolidae.
GCGACCAUUCCACGUUGGAAACACCGGUUCUCGUCUGAUCACUGAAGUUAAGCAACGUCAGGCCCGGUUAGUAUUUGCGCACCUCUAUGACCCAAAGAGCUAUACAUGAUGGCUUCUUCAAGCCGGAGAUGCAAUCAUACCUGACAGGUU